GGGCAGCCUACACAUGCAAGUCGAGCGGNAUGAAGGGAGCUUGCUCCUGGAUUCAGCGGCGGACGGGUGAGUAAUGCCUAGGAAUCUGCCUGGUAGCUGGGGGAUAACGUCCGGAAACGGGCGCUAAUACCGCAUACGUCCUGAGGGANAAAGUGGGGGAUCUUCGGACCUCACGCUAUCANAUGAGCCUAGGUCGGAUUANCUAGUUGGUGGGGUAAAGGCCUACCNAGGCGACNAUCCNUANCUGGUCUGAGAGGAUGAUCAGUCACACUGGANCUGANACACGGUUCCACACUNCUACNGGAGGCAGCANUGGGGAAUAUUGGACAAUGGGCGAAANCCUGAUCCAGCCNUGCCGCGUGUGUGAAGAANGUCUUCNGAUUGUAAAGCACUUUAAGUUGGGAGGAAGGGCAGUAAGUUAAUACCUUGCUGUUUUGACGUUACCAACANAAUAAGCACCGGCUAACUUCGUGCCAGCNGCCGCGGUAAUACGAANGGNGCAAGCNUUNAUCGNAAUUNCUGGGNGUAAAGCGCGCGUANGUGGUUCAGCAAGUU
RNAcentral lists this ribosomal RNA (555 nucleotides) under Pseudomonas aeruginosa. RNAcentral's name for it is "partial 16S ribosomal RNA". It matches the Rfam family "Bacterial small subunit ribosomal RNA", at positions 44 to 589 of the family's 1533-position model. Lineage: Bacteria; Pseudomonadati; Pseudomonadota; Gammaproteobacteria; Pseudomonadales; Pseudomonadaceae. The record is from RNAcentral.